GACGAACGCUGGCGGCGUGCCUAACACAUACAAGUCGAACGGAAAACAUAGCAAUAUGUUUUUAGUGGCGAACGGGUGAGUAACGCGUAGACAACCAACCUUUUUGUGGGGGACAACACUUCGAAAGGAGUGCUAAUACCGCAUACGCUCCAGAUGCCGCCUGGUGUUUGGAGGAAAGGAGCUGUAAGGCUUCGCAAAAAGACGGGUCUGCGUCUGAUUAGCUAGUUGGGGGGGUAACGGCCCACCAAGGCGACGAUCAGUAGCCGGUCUGAAGGGAGGGACGGCCACACGGGGACUGAGACACGGCCCAGACUCCUACGGGAGGCAGCAGUGGGGAAGCUUCCGCAAUGGACGAAAGUCUGACGGAGCGACGCCGCGUGAGUGAUGAAGGCCCUUGGGUCGUAAAGCUCUGUCAUCAGGGACGAACGGUCACGUCAGGAAAUGGGCGUGAAUUGACGGUACCUGAGAAGGAAGCCACGGCUAACUACGUGCCAGCCGCCGCAGUA
This 506-nucleotide ribosomal RNA is filed under the name uncultured bacterium. RNAcentral describes it as "partial 16S ribosomal RNA". It matches the Rfam family "Bacterial small subunit ribosomal RNA", at positions 28 to 522 of the family's 1533-position model. The record is from RNAcentral.